Molecule: ribosomal RNA, 922 nt
Filed under: uncultured Methylococcaceae bacterium
Lineage: Bacteria; Pseudomonadati; Pseudomonadota; Gammaproteobacteria; Methylococcales; Methylococcaceae
Description: SSU rRNA
Rfam family: Bacterial small subunit ribosomal RNA
Source: RNAcentral
CCUUCGGGAGCUGACGAGUGGCGGACGGGUGAGUAACGCGUAGGAAUCUGCCUUAUAGUGGGGGACAACGUGGGGAAACCCACGCUAAUACCGCAUACGCCCUACGGGGGAAAGCGGGGGCUCUUCGGACCUCGCGCUAUGAGAUGAGCCUGCGUUAGAUUAGCUAGUUGGUAGGGUAAAGGCCUACCAAGGCGACGAUCUAUAGCUGGUCUGAGAGGACGAUCAGCCACACUGGGACUGAGACACGGCCCAGACUCCUACGGGAGGCAGCAGUGGGGAAUAUUGGACAAUGGGCGCAAGCCUGAUCCAGCAAUACCGCGUGUGUGAAGAAGGCCUUAGGGUUGUAAAGCACUUUCAAUGGGGAGGAAAACCUGCCGGUCAAUACCCGGUAGCUUGACAUUACCUGUAGAAGAAGCACCGGCUAACUCCGUGCCAGCAGCCGCGGUAAUACGGAGGGUGCGAGCGUUAAUCGGAAUUACUGGGCGUAAAGCGUGCGUAGGCGGUUCGUUAAGUCAGAUGUGAAAGCCCCGGGCUCAACCUGGGAACUGCAUUUGAAACUGGCGGACUAGAGUUUAGUAGAGGGGAGUGGAAUUUCAGGUGUAGCGGUGAAAUGCGUAGAUAUCUGAAGGAACACCAGUGGCGAAGGCGACUCCCUGGACUAGAACUGACGCUGAGGUACGAAAGCGUGGGUAGCAAACAGGAUUAGAUACCCUGGUAGUCCACGCCGUAAACGAUGUCAACUAGCCGUUGGUCCUAUUUACAGGAUUAGUGGCGCAGCUAACGCAUUAAGUUGACCGCCUGGGGAGUACGGCCGCAAGGUUAAACUCAAAUGAAUUGACGGGGGCCCGCACAAGCGGUGGAGCAUGUGGUUUAAUUCGAUGCAACGCGAAGAACCUUACCUACCCUUGACAUCCAUAGAAUC